GACGAACGCUGGCGGCGUGCUUAACACAUGCAAGUCGAACGGAAAGGCCCUGCUUUUGUGGGGUGCUAGAGUGGCGAACGGGUGAGUAACACGUGAGUAACCUGCCCUUGACUUUGGGAUAACUUCAGGAAACUGGGGCUAAUACCGGAUAGGAGCUCCUGCUGCAUGGUGGGGGUUGGAAAGUUUCGGCGGUUGGGGAUGGACUCGCGGCUUAUCAGCUUGUUGGUGGGGUAGUGGCUUACCAAGGCUUUGACGGGUAGCCGGCCUGAGAGGGUGACCUGCCACAUUGGGACUGAGAUACGGCCCAGACUCCUACGGGAGGCAGCAGUGGGGAAUAUUGCACAAUGGGCGGAAGCCUGAUGCAGCAACGCCGCGUGCGGGAUGACGGCCUUCGGGUUGUAAACCGCGUUCGCCUGUGACGAAGCGUGAGUGACGGUAAUGGGUAAAGAAGCACCGGCUAACUACGUG
This 468-nucleotide ribosomal RNA is filed under the name uncultured bacterium. Its description in RNAcentral is "partial 16S ribosomal RNA". It matches the Rfam family "Bacterial small subunit ribosomal RNA", at positions 28 to 507 of the family's 1533-position model. The record is from RNAcentral.